This 253-nucleotide ribosomal RNA is filed under the name uncultured bacterium. RNAcentral describes it as "partial 16S ribosomal RNA". It matches the Rfam family "Bacterial small subunit ribosomal RNA", at positions 524 to 776 of the family's 1533-position model. The record is from RNAcentral.
UACGGGGGGGGAAAGCGUUGUUCGGAAUUACUGGGCGUAAAGGGCGCGUCGGCGGGUGGACAAGUCUCUCGUGAAAGCCCACGGCUCAACCGUGGAAUUGCGGGAGAUACUGUCUGUCUUGAGUCCGGGAGAGGAGGGUGGAAUUCCCAGUGUAGCGGUGAAAUGCGUAGAUAUUGGGAGGAACACCGGUGGCGAAGGCGGCUCUCUGGACCGGUACUGACGCUGAGGCGCGAAAGCUAGUGGAGCAAACGGG